Musa acuminata AAA Group (dessert banana) is the source of this 1690-nucleotide long non-coding RNA. RefSeq lists it as uncharacterized. NCBI's taxonomy places the organism in Eukaryota, Viridiplantae, Streptophyta, Magnoliopsida, Zingiberales, Musaceae. The transcript has 3 exons. The record is from RefSeq and is a predicted model, not a curated record.
GCCACCAUUUCUCUUAUUAUUUGUGCUGGAUUUUAAUUCAUAGUUUAGAUCACAUUUCUGCAGCUUUCCAGCACUGAUUGGUGUCAGUGAAACAGCAAAAGAGAGAGAGAGAGAGGGAUACUACAAACACAAACACACAGAGAGAGAGAGAGAGAGAGAGAGAGAGAGAGAGAGAGAGAGGCAAAAGCUGGUUACUGACAGCUUUGCUGCAUCAAAACUGAGAGGAAGAGAUUACAAACACGCACUGCGGCACUUAUUAGAUCAGACACGUACGAUUCAGAUAUUGGCAUCCGUGGAUCCACGCCUCUCUCUGUCAGUCUCCCUUGGCUUCCUUCUUCUUGGGCUUGCUGCUCUUCUUCGUCUUCAUGAAGCAGAAGCAGGAGCAGCACGGGCACUGGAACAAGAACUUCAUGAUGGCGAUGCCGUGCACCUCAGGCGCAGCACUCACAGCUCUGUGCUCCGAUGGUGGAACUACGACCUCGCUCUUCCACCUUAUCCUCCUCUCUUUAUUAAAUCGACUCGCAUCAAUUCCAUCCGCGUCACUUCCAGAAGGAAGAUGCCCAUGACCGCACUCAAAAGUCACCUCCUCUUCGAUUCUUCCAAAUGGUGGGUCAUCUCGCCAAUGUGCUCCUCCUUUCUGAACCGCUGCUGCUGGUUCAAGUAACCCUACGUUGGGUUAGUCUUUGAAUCACACGGCAUUACUUUUCUCCAGAGCCAGCGGCAAGCAUUCUUUUCCCCGGCAACAACAGCUGCACCACCAACAACAGUCAUCAUUCAUCUUAAGAUUCUCUCGGCCCACGGAUAAGAUCACGUCGACCCCAUCCGUAGCAACUUCUAUGUUUAUUUUGACUUUUGCAUCCUGCUUACUUACUGUCUGGAAGAGUCGAAGCGGUGUGGGACACAGGUCAGCAUGUGCUUCCGUCUCUUUUGUCUCGGCAGAAUCUUCCAUGGGAGGGGCAUGGCCACCGUUCUUUGGCCGAGAAAAGGGUUUAUAACGUGGAAGAAGACGCACAUGGAUGGCUUGUCAAUCAGUACUCCCUGUCUCCCAUGGUGAGUUGCUUGGACUUACGAGUGCAUGUUGCUGUGGUAGUUCUACUUUCACUGCACGUAACGAUGCUCUCUGUUAGUGAACUGAUACGUCGUUGUUGAUGAGUCAUUACGGCCUGAUUCACGGGUCAACGUUAGGAGUCUUCGACGAGGUCGAUCGCGUCCUCCGGAUGUGGGUGCCGUCAUAAUGUGGAUUAGCGUCUCUCGAUCGGGAUGUUCACACCUCAGGAGUCGCUUUCAUGCACAUAAGGCCCUCACCAGGUCGUUAUCGACUGUGACCCCUCGAUAAAUUUUAGCGUAGCGACCAGUCCUCGAGGGGUGAGGAUGUACCUUGGCGUGGCGUCGACCCGGGACGCACGGAAUGAAACGACGCCAUGCAACGUCAUCCCAAGCUUUUUGGGACGAGACAUACCGAGGAAUGUCUCGGUACAGAUCCUGGCUUGGCACGUGGGAGUACUUUGCUUACUGACCCGAUGGUGAUGUGGCGUGGCGUUAGCGGUGAGCGGUGAGGUGGCCAGAGCCCAAAAUAUAACUUAUCACUCUCUUCUUUCAGUAAUUGCAGAUCCUGUAAUGUCUUCAUUUUAUGUGGCUUGUUGGUGGGGAAGAAACACGAAAAACCGUGUGGGUUCUAUGAAAUAAUGUA